UACGGAGGGUGCAAGCGUUAUCCGGAUUCACUGGGUUUAAAGGGUGCGUAGGUGGGUUUGUAAGUCAGCGGUGAAAUCUCCGAGCUUAACUCGGAAACUGCCAUUGAUACUAUAGAUCUUGAAUUUUCUGGAGGUAAGCGGAAUAUGUCAUGUAGCGGUGAAAUGCUUAGAUAUGACAUAGAACACCAAUUGCGAAGGCAGCUUGCUACAGGAACAUUGACACUGAGGCACGAAAGCGUGGGGAUCAAACAGG
RNAcentral lists this ribosomal RNA (253 nucleotides) under uncultured bacterium. RNAcentral describes it as "partial 16S ribosomal RNA". It matches the Rfam family "Bacterial small subunit ribosomal RNA", at positions 524 to 776 of the family's 1533-position model. The record is from RNAcentral.